Molecule: long non-coding RNA, 661 nt
Organism: Eucalyptus grandis
Lineage: Eukaryota; Viridiplantae; Streptophyta; Magnoliopsida; Myrtales; Myrtaceae
Exons: 2
Source: RefSeq, a predicted model, not a curated record
AGCGGUAUGUGCUUUCGAACAACAUCAUGAACAGGAGCUUUGGACAAAAAAGGUUAUCUUUUCACUUGAAGAUCCCAUGUGGCCAAGAACGAGUCUUUGGUCUUUAGGGUGGAUUUGGCCACUGCAGUGAGGUUCAAGAUCAUGGUUUGGAAGACCAAGAGGUAUAAGGUAAUAGUGGUGGGUGCUAAUGUGACUCUCAAUGAUCAGGCUGCUAAGAACACCGGCAAGAAGGACAAGGAUGUCAAACUAAAGUCUGGGGUGGGUAAGAAUUUAGGGGGUUGUUGCUUUUGGCAGGUGGGGACUUUUGUUGUUGCUUUAGCUUUGAUUUUGCUUGACUAAGGGCUGAGUUGGACUCUCCCUUGUGUGAGGAAGGCUGAGAAUGAGAUUAAUUUUCUGGUAUUCCUGGAUAGUGGGCAGUGCUGAUUAUUGUUUGCAUUAGAAAUGAGUGCUGGUUAGCGUUUGGAUUAGAAAUGAUAUAUUUAAUGGAAGAGGGAAAAAAAUCAUUGUUUUGGGAUGGUUUUGUUGAAUGAAGAUUUGAAUGAAUCAUGGUGUUUGGUUCUUAUGAUAUGUAGUCCUUAUCCUUCAUUACAUUGAGUUCUUCGGGGUUGUUCAGAUUCCUGGUCUUUGCAAACAGAGUGAAUUUUGUUUGCCUUCUUAAAAA